This 506-nucleotide ribosomal RNA is filed under the name uncultured bacterium. RNAcentral describes it as "partial 16S ribosomal RNA". It matches the Rfam family "Bacterial small subunit ribosomal RNA", at positions 29 to 523 of the family's 1533-position model. The record is from RNAcentral.
AGCGAACGCUGGCGGUAGGCCUAACACAUGCAAGUCGAACGGCAGCACAGGAGAGCUUGCUCUCUGGGUGGCGAGUGGCGGACGGGUGAGGAAUACAUCGGAAUCUACCUUUUCGUGGGGGAUAACGUAGGGAAACUUACGCUAAUACCGCAUACGACCUUCGGGUGAAAGCAGGGGACCUUCGGGCCUUGCGCGGAUAGAUGAGCCGAUGUCGGAUUAGCUAGUUGGCGGGGUAAAGGCCCACCAAGGCGACGAUCCGUAGCUGGUCUGAGAGGAUGAUCCGCCACACUGGAACUGAGACACGGUCCAGACUCCUACGGGAGGCAGCAGUGGGGAAUAUUGGACAAUGGGCGCAAGCCUGAUCCAGCCAUACCGCGUGGGUGAAGGAGGCCUUCGGGUUGUAAAGCCCUUUUGUUGGGAAAGAAAAGCAACCAGUUAAUACCUGGUUGUUCUGACGGUACCCAAAGAAUAAGCACCGGCUAACUUCGUGCCAGCAGCCGCAGUAA